CCCCAGCUUAGCAGCAGUAACGCCAUUUUGCAAGGCUGUACUUAAGAUGACUGGUUCAGGGAAAGGUUAGAACACUGAGUACACAGCGGCUGCCAAGCAGGAUGUGUUUGGUUGAAGGCCUGGCAACAGGACGACUUCGGUUGAGCACCUGACAAUGAAAAAAAAGCCCCGGGAGAGGUCCCACACCCUGGUGGGGGGCCGAGUCAGUCCUUAUGUUCCAAGAAGGUAGCUAAGAAACUUGCCCCCGGGCUGAACCCUUGGGGGGCUGAGUCAGCCGUUAUGUUUCAGGAAGGUAGCUAGGAAACUUGCCCCCGGGCUAAACCCUUGCCAUAUUAGAAUCCACCAAUUAUAUCCCUGUAACCAUGCAUCUGCUUCUGUAUGCUUGCUUCUGCUCCCCAAAAUCCUAUAAAAGCCCAUCCUUGGUUCCGUGGGGCACGCCAGUCCCCCGAGUGACUGAAGCGCCCGCAGGUGCCUGUGCCUGUGUAUCCCGACAAUAAACCAAAUCCUCUUGCUGAUUGCAUCCUGUGGUGUCUCGGUCUGGUCUUUGGAGUUGGAGGGUCUCCAUCCCGAGGGAAAGUUCUCCCUGAGAGCUUUUCAUUUGGUGUAUUGGCCGGGAAAGGAGAUCCUCCACCCAGGGACCACCGACCACCCACUGGGAGGUAAGCCGGCCGGCGUCUGUCUGUCUGUCUGAUUUUGUCUCGUUCUGCCUUAUUCUGUCUGUUCUGUGAGUGCUCAGCCGGGUCUGUUCUGUGAGCGCUCAGCCGGGUCUGUUCUGUGAGCGCUCAGCCAGGUUGUUUGGAAUUUGGGCGGGACGAAGAAGGAGCUGACGAGCUCGGACUUCUCGCCCCGCAGCCCUGGAAGACGUUCCAAGGGUGUUAAGGGCCUGACUUUUCGGGGCCCAAUCUGGGACUCUGGUUAGAGGAGAAGGAUCCGGACUAACGGCACCUCUGUCUGUAUUUUUGGCUUUCAGAGGGCCCCGGACCUUUGCCACCUCCAUCUGACUUUUUGCUUUCAGUUUGGUACCAAAGCCGUGCAGCACGCCUGUCUGUUGUUUGUUUGACUGUUGGUGUUGUUUGUUUUCUCUGUGUUCUAAUCUUCCUUAGAACUAACAUGGGACAGUCCCUAACAAUGCCCCUAAGUCUCACUCUUGAUCAUUAGAAAGACGUCCACGACCGGACACACAACCAGUCCGUCGAGGUUAAAAAAAAGGAAAAUGGCAGACUCUCUGCACAUCCGAGUGGCCCACUUUCGGAGCGGGAUGGCCAGUGAAUGGCACAUUUAAUAAGAUCAUUAUUUUACAGGUUAAAGAUCGGGUCGUCCACGGACAUCCUGACCAGGUUUCUUAUAUUAUCACUUGAGAGAGUCUCGCCUUAACCCCCCCCCCCGGGCGGAACCCUUCGUGGACCCGAAUUGGCCUCCCCUCAACCCCCAGCCUGUCCGCUCAGCCCCACCCGGUCCGCCGGCCACGUCUUCCUCUCUCUACCUUUGUGAAAUCAGAGCCUUCUAAGAAACCUGUCCUCCCGGCAGACCCAAACUCCCCUCUCAUAGAUCUUCUCUCUGACAGGCCCGGCUGAAAUGGAGGAGGCAGAGCCGCCGGCCAGAUCAGUUGCCGGGCCACAGUCUGAUAAGGGUUUCUCCCCUGUCGCAGGGAGAUUGCGCAAUAAGCGGGAGGUGAUGCCAGAUUCAACCUCCAAGGCUUUCCCACUUAGACAGGGAACCGGUGGCCAGACCCAAUACUGGCCGUUUUCAGCAGCUGACAUUUACAAUUGGAAACAACACAACCCUUCUUUCUCCAAAGAUCCGGUGGCACUCACCGACCUAAUAGAAUCUGUUUUACUUACCCACCAGCCUACUUGGUUGGGAUGACUGCCAACAGCUCUUACAGGCCCUCUUAACCUCAGAAAAAAAAAAAAAAACAAACAAAGAGUGUUCCUAGAGGCCAGAAAGCGUGUUCUGGGAGAUGAUGGGCAUCCCACCCAGCUGCCUGAGGACCAAACUGGGAUUUUAAUACAGCUGAAGGUAAGGGACACCUACGCCUUUAUCGCCAGUUGCUUCUAGCGGGUCUCCGAGGGGCUAUACGACGCCCUACUAAUUUGGCUCAGGUAAAACAGGUAUUACAGGAAGCAGGGGAAACUCCCUCUGCCUUUCUAGAGAGACUUAAGGAGGCCUACCGUAUGUACACUCCCUAUGACCCAGAUGACCCAGGACAAAUGACGAGUGUCUCUAUGUCCUUCAUCUGGCAGGCUGCUCCAGAUAUCAGGACUAAGUUACAGAGGUUAGAAAAUUUGCAGGGCUAUACAUUACAGGAUUUACUUAAAGAAGCUGAAAAGAUUUUUAAUAAGAGAGAGAUAAAAAAAAAAAAAAACAAAAAAUUGAGUCGAAUCUUGGCUGCCGUAGUUCAGGGCCAAAAAAGGAAGGGAGAUAGGGGGGGAGCUCGAAAGGGGCUAAAGCUGGAUAAAGAUCAAUGUGCCUAUUACAAAGAAAAAGGACACUUGGCCAGAGAGUGCUCCAAGAAGCCUGGCGGACCCCGAAAGCCUCGACCACGAACCUCCCUCUUGGCUCUAGAUAAAGAUUAGGGAGGUCAGGGCCAGGAGCCCCCCCCUGAGCCCAGGGUAACGCUUAAGUUGGGGGGCAGCCGGUUACUUUCCUGGUAGACACAGGAGCCCAGCAUUCAGUCCUCACCCAAGCUUCAGGACAACUCAGCGACCGGACGGCCUGGGUACAAAGAGCUACUGGUGAGAAACAAUACCGAUGGACUACGGACCACCGGGUUCAGCUGGCUACCGGUAAGGUGACCCAUUCCUUCUUACAUGUUCCGGACUGCCCGUACGCUCUGCUGGGCCGUGACCUGCUCACCAAACUAAAUUCAUUUUGAGGAAGGAGGGGCCCAAAUAACUGGCCCCCAUGGAAAUCCCCUUCAAGUUCUAACCCUACAACUAGAGGAUGAAUAUAGACUAUAUGAACCGGGACAGGACAAGCCACAAUCCCUAGAAAUAGACACUUGGGUCACGAAUUUUCCACUGGCUUGGGCAGAGACUGGUGGGAUGGGGUUGGCGUUCCAACAGCCCCCCUUAAUUAUACAGUUAAAGGCCACUACAACUCCAGUCUCCAUAAAACAAUACCCCCUGUCACAUAAAGCUUAUCAAGGUAUAAGGCUUCACAUUACGAGGCUUCUAGAUCAAGGCAUCCUAGUCCCCUGCCGGUCGCCUUGGAAUACGCCUCUUCUGCCUGUUAAGAAACCAGGCACUGGAGCUUAUAGGCCAAUACAAGACUUGAGAAAGGUCAACAAGAGGAUAGAAGAUAUUCAUCCGACUGUUCCAAACCCUUACAAUUUGCUCAGUAACUGUUCAUCGAUGAGAAACAGGGGUAUGCUAAAGGGGUCCUAACACAAAGGUUGGGACCCUGGAAACGCCCUGUGGCCUACCUGUCUAAGAAAUUGGACCCUGUGGCCUCCGGCUGGCCACCGUGCCUAAGGAUGGUGGCUGCUAUUGCUGUCCUGAUCAAGGAUGCUGGAAAAUUGACUUUGGGACAGCCACUCACCAUCCUAGCACCCCACGCAGUGGAGGCCUUGGUAAAGCAGCCCCCAGACCGCUGGCUCUCUAAUUCUCACACCAAGCCUUGUUACUGGAUGCAGAACGGGUUCAGUUUGGGCCCAUAGUCGCCCUCAAUCCUGCGACCUUGCUUCCUCUACCAGAGGAGACAGAACAGCAUGACUGCCUACAAAUCCUCGCAGAAGUACAUGGAACCAGGCCGGACCUAUCGGACCAGCCUCUUCAGAAUGCUGACCACACAUGGUACACGGAUGACAACAGCUUCUUGGCAGAGGGAGAGCGAAAGGCUAGAGCUGCGGUCACUACGGAGGACAAAGUGAUUUGGGCGAAAGCCCUGCCUGCUGGUACCUCCGCACAACGGGCUGAACUCAUCGCCUUGACUCAGGCGCUCAAGAUGACAAAAGCCCUUCUCUGAGGGCCCAUUUACAGGCCCUACAGAUUGUGCAGAGAGACGUCUGGAGACCUUUGGCCGCUGCUUACCAGGACAAGCUUGAGCAUCCGGUGGUGCCACACCCGUUCCAGAUUGGAGACACCGUGUGGGUGCGCAGAUACCAGACCAAGAAUCUCGAGCCACGGUGGAAAGGACCCUACACCGUCCUCCUUAGAUCCACGCACCACACGUCAAGGCAGUCCGGUCUGAGGAAUUGACUAAUCACAACACUACACCCCAGACAUGGAGAAUUCAGCGCACUCCAAACACCUUAAAGUUAUAACUCCUACGUGGCUCCUCCUAGCCCUUUUGUGGCCUAGAGUCAGUGGGGAAAUAAGCCCCCACCAGACAGAAAUUUCUUAACCAAGUCGAGUGAAAGAUUUCACUCAAAGUUAACAAAAAAAAAUGGGGGAAUGAAAGACCCCAGCUUAA
Rattus norvegicus (Norway rat) is the source of this 4413-nucleotide long non-coding RNA. RefSeq lists it as uncharacterized. Lineage: Eukaryota; Metazoa; Chordata; Mammalia; Rodentia; Muridae. The record is from RefSeq and is a predicted model, not a curated record.